GACGAACGCUGGCGGCGUGCUUAACACAUGCAAGUCGAACGGAAAGGCCCUGCUUUUGUGGGGUGCUCGAGUGGCGAACGGGUGAGUAACACGUGAGUAACCUGCCCUUGACUUUGGGAUAACUUCAGGAAACUGGGGCUAAUACCGGAUAGGAGCUCCUGCUGCAGGGUGGGGGUUGGAAAGUUUCGGCGGUUGGGGCUGGACUCGCGGCUUAUCAGCUUGUUGGUGGGGUAGUGGCUUACCAAGGCUUUGACGGGUAGCCGGCCUGAGAGGGUGACCGGCCACAUUGGGACUGAGAUACGGCCCAGACUCCUACGGGAGGCAGCAGUGGGGAAUAUUGCACAAUGGGCGGAAGCCUGAUGCAGCAACGCCGCGUGCGGGAUGACGGCCUUCGGGUUGUAAACCGCUUUCGCCUGUGACGAAGCGUGAGUGACGGUAAUGGGUAAAGAAGCACCGGCUAACUACGUG
RNAcentral lists this ribosomal RNA (468 nucleotides) under uncultured bacterium. Its description in RNAcentral is "partial 16S ribosomal RNA". It matches the Rfam family "Bacterial small subunit ribosomal RNA", at positions 28 to 507 of the family's 1533-position model. The record is from RNAcentral.